Molecule: long non-coding RNA, 476 nt
Organism: Oxyura jamaicensis (ruddy duck)
Lineage: Eukaryota; Metazoa; Chordata; Aves; Anseriformes; Anatidae
Exons: 2
Source: RefSeq, a predicted model, not a curated record
AGUUGUGGUAGAGUCUCUUGGGUGGAUGUUUAAAUUAAGAAGUUUCCUUUAAAAAAAGUGAUUUGUGCAGUGCCCAGAACAAUGGGGUCUUUGUCCAUUCCUGGAGGGACCAAAAUCAAAAUGUUUUAAACACAAUCACCAUGGCUGCACAGAGAAUUCAAGCAGGACAACAAUACAGGACCUUUGUAUUCUGACCAUGGUGCAGAAGGGGAUGCUGAAUAUGCUGCCUCGUUACUCUGGAGUUGGCUGUGACCACUGGACUACGUCCUAUGGGCUGAGACUGAAGAAGCCAUCAGGAGUGUCAGGCUAUGCCACUGAUUUCUUAUCGACCUGCUUGAUAUGCGCUCACAUUUCCAUGCAUCUUCCCCUCCUGCACUCCAUAAAACGCAACAUGAAAUGUCUCCUCUCAAUUGAGAUGCUCUGUUUUAUUUGGGCUGAGAAAUCCACUUAAACCUUUUUAAUUUGUCUUGUUUGGA